GGGGUGAGGAGCGGCUGUGAAUAGUGACCCUCGAAGUUUGCACCCUUCGACAAAUCAAGCGAUUCGGCUGACGAGGGAUCGGAUCAGCCGAGUUCAAAAACCUUUACCGUAAAUUGUUGGUUCGGCUGGAAGAGCCGAAUGUAUGAACUGUGCAAGGAUCAAUGUCGGCAGAAGUGCCGAAUGGAAGAAGUACACAGUAACUGGUCGGCUGAAAGAGCCGAAUGGAAGAAGUACACAAUGGCUGGUCGACUGAAAGAGCUGAAUGGAAGAAGUACACAAUGACUGGUCGGCUGAAAGAGCCG
Molecule: long non-coding RNA, 302 nt
Filed under: Ananas comosus (pineapple)
Lineage: Eukaryota; Viridiplantae; Streptophyta; Magnoliopsida; Poales; Bromeliaceae
Description: long non-coding RNA (ACOM_LNC029111)
Source: RNAcentral